Molecule: ribosomal RNA, 567 nt
Filed under: uncultured bacterium
Lineage: Bacteria
Description: bacterial SSU rRNA
Rfam family: Bacterial small subunit ribosomal RNA
Source: RNAcentral
CCUACGGGAGGCAGCAGUGGGGAAUAUUGCACAAUGGGCGAAAGCCUGAUGCAGCGACGCCGCGUGAGGGACGAAGGCCUUCGGGUUGUAAACCUCUUUCAGCAGGGAAGAAGCGAAAGUGACGGUACCUGCAGAAGAAGCGCCGGCUAACUACGUGCCAGCAGCCGCGGUAAUACGUAGGGCGCAAGCGUUAUCCGGAAUUAUUGGGCGUAAAGAGCUCGUAGGCGGUUUGUCGCGUCUGCUGUGAAAGCCCGGGGCUCAACCCCGGGUCUGCAGUGGGUACGGGCAGACUAGAGUGCAGUAGGGGAGACUGGAAUUCCUGGUGUAGCGGUGAAAUGCGCAGAUAUCAGGAGGAACACCGAUGGCGAAGGCAGGUCUCUGGGCUGUAACUGACGCUGAGGAGCGAAAGCAUGGGGAGCGAACAGGAUUAGAUACCCUGGUAGUCCAUGCCGUAAACGUUGGGCACUAGGUGUGGGGGACAUUCCACGUUUUCCGCGCCGUAGCUAACGCAUUAAGUGCCCCGCCUGGGGAGUACGGCCGCAAGGCUAAAACUCAAGGAAUUGACGG